AGUUUCAUUCAUCUCCAAUUGGAGGACACACUGGCACACACAAAACGCUAAAUGCAGUGUGUUCCAGAUUUUACUGGUUUGGUAUGACAGUUGACAUUAAAACAUGGAUUCUGGAAUGUGACCAAUGUCAAAAAGUUGGGAAACCACUGACUGCUGUGCAACUGUUGCAGUGUAUUCAGGUGUCUGAAGUGUGGGAACUUAUUGGUAUAGAUCUUACUGGACCUCUUCCUAAAACUUCAAGCGGCUUCCAGUAUAUACUUACUGCAAGUGACUACUUUUCAAAAUGGGUUGAAGCUUUCCCAUUAAAAACAAAAUCUGCAUCUGA
This is a non-coding RNA of Neolamprologus brichardi, 325 nucleotides long. The record is from RefSeq and is a predicted model, not a curated record. Lineage: Eukaryota; Metazoa; Chordata; Actinopteri; Cichliformes; Cichlidae.